This 332-nucleotide ribosomal RNA is filed under the name uncultured bacterium. Its description in RNAcentral is "bacterial SSU rRNA". It matches the Rfam family "Bacterial small subunit ribosomal RNA", at positions 568 to 898 of the family's 1533-position model. The record is from RNAcentral.
CGUGUAGGCGGUUUGUCAAGUCGGGUGUGAAAGCCUGGGGCUCAGCCCCAGAAGUGCAUCCGAAACUAGCGAGCUAGAGCGCGAUAGAGGAGGGUGGAAUCCCUGGUGUAGCGGUGAAAUGCGUAGAUAUCAGGAGGAACACCGGCGGCGAAGGCGGCCCUCUGGAUCGUUGCUGACGCUGAGACGCGAAAGCGUGGGGAGCAAACAGGAUUAGAUACCCUGGUAGUCCACGCCUUAAACGAUGGGUACUAGGUGUUCGGGGUGUUGACCCCCUGAGUGCCGCAGUUAACGCAUUAAGUACCCCGCCUGGGGACUACGGCCGCAAGGUUAAA